This 32-nucleotide non-coding RNA is filed under the name Rattus norvegicus (Norway rat). Lineage: Eukaryota; Metazoa; Chordata; Mammalia; Rodentia; Muridae. The record is from RNAcentral.
UCAAAAGAAUCAAAUACGUACAUUUCCAGGGC